Molecule: ribosomal RNA, 445 nt
Filed under: uncultured Cellulomonas sp.
Lineage: Bacteria; Bacillati; Actinomycetota; Actinomycetes; Micrococcales; Cellulomonadaceae
Description: bacterial SSU rRNA
Rfam family: Bacterial small subunit ribosomal RNA
Source: RNAcentral
CCUACGGGGGGCAGCAGUGGGGAAUAUUGCACAAUGGGCGCAAGCCUGAUGCAGCGACGCCGCGUGGAGGAUGACGGCCUUCGGGUUGUAAACUCCUUUCAGCAGGGAAGAAGCGCAAGUGACGGUACCUGCAGAAGAAGCGCCGGCUAACUACGUGCCAGCAGCCGCGGUAAUACGUAGGGCGCAAGCGUUGUCCGGAAUUAUUGGGCGUAAAGAGCUCGUAGGCGGUGUGUCGCGUCUGCUGUGAAAACUCAAGGCUCAACCUUGGGCUUGCAGUGGGUACGGGCACACUAGAGUGCGGUAGGGGUGACUGGAAUUCCUGGUGUAGCGGUGGAAUGCGCAGAUAUCAGGAGGAACACCGAUGGCGAAGGCAGGUCACUGGGCCGCAACUGACGCUGAGGAGCGAAAGCAUGGGGAGCGAACAGGAUUAGAUACCCGAGUAGUC